CCAUCGUCAAACAAAGAGAGUUUGAAGCCUUCAAAGAAAUUGUCCAAAGCCUCGAAAAAGGCAAACAUCGCAGUCUCAAAAGCUUCAUAAAGCUUCUUGAAAAAGCAUAUGAAAUGUCCAGUGACAGAAAAUAUCCAUUAGAUGAAGUAAUAUCUCACAUUAAAAAAAGGGUGGGCGCCUCAGAGACCAUACGCCGAGCACCGCCACACGGCGGUGAAGAUAUGGUCCAACACCAAUAGUUGGUGUUGCUCAAGGUAGCCAAAUGCCUUGUCGGGUAAGUUCCGACGUGCAUGAAUGGAUCAACGAGGGCCCCGCUGUCCCCGCGUAGUACCCGGUGAAUCCACAUAACGUGGACGAACAGUCCACGAUCUCCCAGCGGGAAAAGAAGUCCCUGUGGAGUUUUACUGCAGCCUGUCGCUGGAAUACGGUUGUGGAUGCAGAGUGUAGACGGGAGCCGUCGAUCCCGGUUUCUCCGGGAACUGGGGGAGGCGCCAAUGGAACACCGUCCUUCUGCAACCGUGUUUCUCACCGGCGCCUUUGGCGCUGGAACAACGGCAGGUGGGCAGUUUGGCUGGGGCGGCACGCCCUUGAAAAGAUAUCAAGGGCGCCCUAAGGUCGGCUCAGACGGGACA
This 632-nucleotide ribosomal RNA is filed under the name Sedimentisphaerales bacterium. RNAcentral's name for it is "partial 23S ribosomal RNA". It matches the Rfam family "Archaeal large subunit ribosomal RNA", at positions 1955 to 2400 of the family's 2987-position model. The record is from RNAcentral. Lineage: Bacteria; Pseudomonadati; Planctomycetota; Phycisphaerae; Sedimentisphaerales.